GGCCCGUUGGUCAAGAGGUUAAGACACCGCCCUUUCACGGCGGUAACACGGGUUCGAAUCCCGUACGGGUCAUCA
RNAcentral lists this transfer RNA (75 nucleotides) under Lentibacillus cibarius. RNAcentral describes it as "Lentibacillus sp. NKC220-2 tRNA-Glu". It matches the Rfam family "tRNA". Rfam says of the family: Transfer RNA (tRNA) molecules are approximately 80 nucleotides in length. Their secondary structure includes four short double-helical elements and three loops (D, anti-codon, and T loops). Further hydrogen bonds mediate the characteristic L-shaped molecular structure. tRNAs have two regions of fundamental functional importance: the anti-codon, which is responsible for specific mRNA codon recognition, and the 3' end, to which the tRNAs corresponding amino acid is attached (by aminoacyl-tRNA synthetases). tRNAs cope with the degeneracy of the genetic code in two manners: having more than one tRNA (with a specific anti-codon) for a particular amino acid; and 'wobble' base-pairing, i.e. permitting non-standard base-pairing at the 3rd anti-codon position. The record is from RNAcentral. Lineage: Bacteria; Bacillati; Bacillota; Bacilli; Caryophanales; Bacillaceae.